This 90-nucleotide unclassified non-coding RNA is filed under the name Pseudomonas gessardii. The record is from RNAcentral. Lineage: Bacteria; Pseudomonadati; Pseudomonadota; Gammaproteobacteria; Pseudomonadales; Pseudomonadaceae.
UGUGGGAGCGGGCUUGCUCGCGAUAGCGGUGGGCCAGUCGAUUAAGAUGUCGACUGAUACCCCGCUAUCGCGAGCAAGCCCGCUCCCACA